Molecule: ribosomal RNA, 938 nt
Filed under: uncultured bacterium
Lineage: Bacteria
Description: bacterial SSU rRNA
Rfam family: Bacterial small subunit ribosomal RNA
Source: RNAcentral
AGAGUUUGAUCCUGGCUCAGGACGAACGCUGGCGGCGUGCCUAAUACAUGCAAGUCGAACGCAAAACUUUUAACUGAUGCUUGCAUCGACCUAAAGUUUUGAGUGGCGGACGGGUGAGUAACACGUGGGUAACCUGCCCAUCAGAGGGGGACAACACUUGGAAACAGGUGCUAAUACCGCAUAAUACAGAGAACCGCAUGGUUCUUUGUUGAAAGGCGCUUCUGGUGUCGCUGAUGGAUGGACCCGCGGUGCAUUAGCUAGACGGUGAGGUAACGGCUCACCGUGGCAAUGAUGCAUAGCCGACCUGAGAGGGUGAUCGGCCACAUUGGGACUGAGACACGGCCCAAACUCCUACGGGAGGCAGCAGUAGGGAAUCUUCGGCAAUGGACGAAAGUCUGACCGAGCAACGCCGCGUGAGUGAAGAAGGUUUUCGGAUCGUAAAACUCUGUUGUUAGAGAAGAACAGGAGCGAUAGUAACUGCUCGCUCUUUGACGGUAUCUAACCAGAAAGCCACGGCUAACUACGUGCCAGCAGCCGCGGUAAUACGUAGGUGGCAAGCGUUGUCCGGAUUUAUUGGGCGUAAAGCGAGCGCAGGCGGUCUUUUAAGUCUGAUGUGAAAGCCCACGGCUUAACCGUGGAGGGUCAUUGGAAACUGGGAGACUUGAGUGCAGAAGAGGAAAGUGGAACUCCAUGUGUAGCGGUGGAAUGCGUAGAUAUAUGGAAGAACACCAGUGGCGAAGGCGGCUUUCUGGUCUGUAACUGACGCUGAGGCUCGAAAGCGUGGGGAGCAAACAGGAUUAGAUACCCUGGUAGUCCACGCCGUAAACGAUGAGUGCUAAGUGUUGGAGGGUUUCCGCCCUUCAGUGCUGCAGCUAACGCAUUAAGCACUCCGCCUGGGGAGUACGACCGCAAGGUUGAAACUCAAAGGAAUUGACGGU